UCGCGAGAGCAAGCGGACCUCAUAAAGUAUGUCGUAGUCCGGAUUGGAGUCUGCAACUCGACUCCAUGAAGUCGGAAUCGCUAGUAAUCGUAGAUCAGAAUGCUACGGUGAAUACGUUCCCGGGCCUUGUACACACCGCCCGUCACACCAUGGGAGUGGGUUGCAAAAGAAGUAGGUAGCUUAACCUUCGGGAGGGCGCUUACCACUUUGUGAUUCAUGACUGGGGUGAAGUCGUAACAAGGUAACCGUAGGGGAACCUGCGGUUGGAUCACCUCCUUA
RNAcentral lists this ribosomal RNA (279 nucleotides) under Klebsiella pneumoniae. RNAcentral's name for it is "partial 16S ribosomal RNA". It matches the Rfam family "Bacterial small subunit ribosomal RNA", at positions 1255 to 1533 of the family's 1533-position model. The record is from RNAcentral. Lineage: Bacteria; Pseudomonadati; Pseudomonadota; Gammaproteobacteria; Enterobacterales; Enterobacteriaceae.